AUGGAGAUGAUUCCGCCUGCUGCGGCGUCGUCGGCGCCAUCACGCCGUGGUGGCGCGGUCACCGAGGAAGAGCGGCAGCGCAAACGCAAGACCUCCAACCGCCUCUCGGCGCAGAGAUCUCGCAUGAAAAGGCAGCAGCGCGAGGACAAUCUGGCCGCGCGCGCGGCCCAGCUCGAGACCGACAACGAGGCCAUGCGUGUCACCACCGGCCUCGUGCAGCAGCAAUGCAGCCUGGUCGAGCAGCAGAAUCGUGUGCUCUCGGCGGACGCUCGUUACCUGUACAGCCUUCUCCAGCAGCGGAACUCCCAGCUCCGCCAGCUCGGGGAGCUCGCCGGCGUUCCGAUGGACGUGCAGGAAAUCCCCGUCCACCUCACACAGCUGUACGGCGGCCUGCAGACGCCACCAGCGCCGCCCCUGUCCUUCCCGCCGGAGAUUCAGAUGAUGUUCCAGCCGGACCAGCUCGAUGAUAUCAUGGACGAUGCAGGAAGUCUCCCGUGGCUCUGA
This 504-nucleotide ribosomal RNA is filed under the name Triticum aestivum (bread wheat). RNAcentral's name for it is "partial small subunit ribosomal RNA". Lineage: Eukaryota; Viridiplantae; Streptophyta; Magnoliopsida; Poales; Poaceae. The record is from RNAcentral.